GAUGAACGCUGACAGAAUGCUUAACACAUGCAAGUCAACUUGAAUUUGGGUUUUUAACUUAGGUUUGGGUGGCGGACGGGUGAGUAACGCGUAAAGAACUUGCCUCCCAGCUAGGGACAACAUUUGGAAACGAAUGCUAAUACCUAAUAUUAUGAUAAUAGGGCAUCCUAUAAUUAUGAAAGCUAUAAGCGCUGUGAGAGAGCUUUGCGUCCCAUUAGCUAGUUGGAGAGGUAACGGCUCACCAAGGCGAUGAUGGGUAGCCGGCCUGAGAGGGUGAUCGGCCACAAGGGGACUGAGACACGGCCCUUACUCCUACGGGAGGCAGCAGUGGGGAAUAUUGGACAAUGGACCGAGAGUCUGAUCCAGCAAUUCUGUGUGCACGAUGAAGUUUUUCGGAAUGUAAAGUGCUUUCAGUUGGGAAGAAACAAAUGACGGUACCAACAGAAGAAGUGACGGCUAAAUACGUG
Molecule: ribosomal RNA, 467 nt
Filed under: uncultured bacterium
Lineage: Bacteria
Description: partial 16S ribosomal RNA
Rfam family: Bacterial small subunit ribosomal RNA
Source: RNAcentral